CGAGCUGGCCUGCAGAAGAGCAUUUCAGGCAGAAGGACACAAAAUGCAAGGAUCCCAGAUGAGGAUGUGUUCAGUGCGUGAGAGAAACAUCAAGUUCAUGGGGCCGGAGAAUUUUUGUGAUGAGAAGAUGUGAUCAAGAGACAUCAGUCCAGGAUCUAAACCAUGGUGGAAAUGAAGAGCAGAACAUAGUGACACAUGCUGGCCUUGUCCUGAAACCUGAUGUCCACUACUCCCACUGCUCUGAAAGAGAGAAGAUUUAAAGUCACCUUUGAUGCUCCAAGAGUAGAUCAUAGGUAUCCCAGGCCUCUGCAGGGCCUGGAAGUAGCUUGUCCUACCCUUAGAGAGCUUUUCUAACUGACUUUUUCUGACAGUGAUUUGUCAGAUGUGUAGUGAAUUCUGCAAGUCCGGGCCCCAAAGAAGUAAAAGAGUAAUUGAAGUGGAUUAACUGAUGGUCAACUUGUAACGCCCAGCUGAACUGAAUCAGCAUGGUCUGGGCGUGGAAGAUCCAUCUGAGGAUUGUUGUCAACAGCCACAAAAAGAGAACUGGAG
Molecule: long non-coding RNA, 549 nt
Organism: Heterocephalus glaber (naked mole-rat)
Lineage: Eukaryota; Metazoa; Chordata; Mammalia; Rodentia; Bathyergidae
Source: Ensembl